AAGUCGUAACAAGGUAACCGUAGGUGAACCUGCGGUUGGAUCAUUAAUAAAUUUUUCUUAAAGAUAUAUUAAAAGUUGUUUGAAAGAACCUUUUAAUAUAUUCUUUAAACAAAUUUGUGAACUUUAUUAAAGUCUUUUGGGUAAGUCUGUAAAACGAUUUAUCCAAAAAAAUUUUUAAACCAUUUGUAUCCUUUUAUAAGUCUUUAAAUAUUUAAUUAAAAAAAAAUAAUUAAAAACAACUUUUAACAACGGAUCUCUUGGCUCUC
This 266-nucleotide unclassified non-coding RNA is filed under the name air metagenome. RNAcentral's name for it is "partial contains small subunit ribosomal RNA, internal transcribed spacer 1, and 5.8S ribosomal RNA". The stretch from base 1 to 46 matches the Rfam family "Eukaryotic small subunit ribosomal RNA", at positions 1786 to 1831 of the family's 1831-position model. The record is from RNAcentral.